ACCGUGCAAAGGUAGCAUAAUCAUUUGCCUAUUAAUUGUAGGCUAGCAUGAAAGGACAAACGAAAAUAUCCCUGUCUCCUUUAAGCCAGUAAAAAUUUAUCUUUAAGUGAAGAAGCUUAAAUAAUUAUGCAGGACAAGAAGACCCUAUAGAGCUUUACCUAAACAUUACAUUAUAGGUAAUUAAGGGUUCGGUUGGGGCGACCUGGGGACAUAAAUCACCCCUUAAAAUUUAGACAGACACGUCAUUAAAAAGAUCCUAAACUAAGAUCAAUGAAUCAAGCUACCUUAGGGAUAACAGGCUAAUCCUCUUAGAGAGCCCUUAUCGACAAGAGGGG
RNAcentral lists this ribosomal RNA (335 nucleotides) under Tubifex tubifex (sludge worm). Its description in RNAcentral is "partial 16S ribosomal RNA". It matches the Rfam family "Bacterial large subunit ribosomal RNA", at positions 1945 to 2517 of the family's 2925-position model. Lineage: Eukaryota; Metazoa; Annelida; Clitellata; Tubificida; Naididae. The record is from RNAcentral.